RNAcentral lists this long non-coding RNA (330 nucleotides) under Brassica napus (rape). RNAcentral describes it as "long non-coding RNA (BNAP_LNC015780)". The record is from RNAcentral. Lineage: Eukaryota; Viridiplantae; Streptophyta; Magnoliopsida; Brassicales; Brassicaceae.
AAACACAUUAAUAUAUAAUGUAAAAGUAGUUAGAAAAAUGUUUUGAUAAGCUAAAGAAGAAUAACUGACAUAUAUGCAUGUGAUUUCGGCUUGAAAACCAUACUUACUAAUUACUAAAAACGAAGAUAAGCAAAAGGAUUUGUAAUAUAGAGAUAACUGCUUGAUCGAUUACAUGAUUAAAACUCAGUUUUAAGUUAAACAAUAUACAAUAGAGAGAAAUAGCGAGACGUACAUGAUCUUGGACAACGAAACAAUGAAUUUUUUUUGUAAAUGACCAAGUUUAAUUAGUUGUUUGUUUAAAGGUUAUGAAAAUUUGAAAAUAACAUAAAA